Molecule: long non-coding RNA, 910 nt
Organism: Armigeres subalbatus
Lineage: Eukaryota; Metazoa; Arthropoda; Insecta; Diptera; Culicidae
Exons: 3
Source: RefSeq, a predicted model, not a curated record
AAGAUCUCUUCUGUAGCAAUGCUAUCAUCCGAGAAGUAGUGGCAGCAGAUCAAAAUACCGGCAUUGUUGCUAAUGAUUCCAGUCAUUGCUUAAAAAUUGGAACCCACCCGCAGAAUUUAGAUGGAGCAACCAAAUCAGAACCAAAUCGCCACUCAACAAACAAUUUCUACGUGAAACAACAACACUAGCACAAACUGGAAACACUUCCAAGAUCAACCAACUGGCCUAUAACUUCCAUCGUGAACCGAAUAAUCUAACCACUUUCCAAAAUAGCUUGUUGGAACUGGCAUAAGGAAAGAACAUAAUGGUCCACAUGACUAUGGCCCUGGUGGCCGGCGGCGAUAUCGGUACCGGUGCUACCAGUCAACAAUCUCGCCUGAAUGUGGAAGUUGACACCAACUGAUUUCUCUUGUGCACCUGGACCAACGAAACCAUACUUUCUACUACUGGAUCAAACGGAAGUGGUUAAAAGGAGAUAACACUUGGUCCACCGGUCAUGAAAGAAUUGGAGACGGAUGGCUAAAUUCCUCUACUGAUACGGCAAGUAAAAAUUGGCCUGGAAACCCAUGAAUGAGAACCCAAAUGAAAAUCGAAAAAAAUCCGUACAUCACACCAGGAAAUAUUACUCGUACCUUACGACUGCAUCUAUAUUGUUUCGGCAGAGGAUUCGAAGUUGUUAGCAAAGUUGUCAUAAAAAAAUUACUUCGAGAAGCCUUCGACUUAUGUGGUUUUGGCAGCGGCACUGGUGGUGGCAAAACUCCUCAUGGCCCUCCAUCAGGGUGGUUUGCCGGUGAUUUUUUUUGGAUCCAACGGAUGGAACCAACGUCUGCAACAAUUAGUCCGCUAGAGGUAAUGGUGGUGGUAGAGGUAAUACUGUUUGCAUUAUUGACGUUCAUAUUAUUUCAGAUCG